UGCCAGCCGCCGCGGUAAUACGUAGGGCGCUAGCGUUGUUCGGAAUUACUGGGCGUAAAGAGCAUGUAGGCGGAUGAAUUAGUCAGAGGUGAAAGCCUGGAGCUCAACUCCAGAAUUGCAUUUGAAACUACUAGCCUUGAGGAUAGGCGGAGAAGACAGAAUUCCACAUGUAGCGGUGAAAUGCGUAGAUAUGUGGAGGAAUACCGGUGGCGAAGGCGGUCUUCUAGCUUACUCCUGACACUGAGGCGCGAAAGCAAGGGGAGCAAACAGGAUUAGAUA
RNAcentral lists this ribosomal RNA (279 nucleotides) under uncultured bacterium. Its description in RNAcentral is "partial 16S ribosomal RNA". It matches the Rfam family "Bacterial small subunit ribosomal RNA", at positions 506 to 784 of the family's 1533-position model. The record is from RNAcentral.